Gallus gallus (chicken) is the source of this 2497-nucleotide long non-coding RNA. Lineage: Eukaryota; Metazoa; Chordata; Aves; Galliformes; Phasianidae. The record is from Ensembl.
UGGACUUCAGAUGACUCAGACUGACAUUUUUUGGCAGUUAAAAGGAGGUGCAAAUUCUUUCUGCUGUGGGUAUGGAAGUGCAGUUGAAAAGUAUUUUGUUUUUCAGCAUAAUGGGACUGCAGUCACUUCGGCAAAUCUCCAGAAACCGCUAAUACAGCCAGCGCUAUGGUCUGAAAAAGCCCAAUGUGACUGCUAAGGAAUGCAUAUGCUCCAUUCUGUAGCACCACGUACUCCUGCAACUGCCUUUCCAUGUAGCUGGCUGCAAGGGCCAGGUGGCCAGUCCUGAGACUGAAACAUUGGACUAUGCCCACAGUGCUGCUGAGCGCCUCCUAAGCAUGUUUCCUCCAGUAACUUUCUGUUAGCCUCUGUGUUUCUGCCAUCGGACCGCGCUUCCAGGAACUGGCAGUUCUGCGUAACCGGCCAUUUGCAUUCAGAGCUGCGAGCGCUCUGUGAAGCCUGCUGCCGAAAACCGGGCUUUCCCCAGGAAAUUGGGCACCCAAAUGAGACAACGGAGGAAUUGAGCGGUGCUUUACCCCAGGAGCUACAGGAGGGGCUUGCAGGCAGAGCUCUGUCUGUAGGAUUUCUCAUAGAACAAGCGGAGCCCAGAUGUUCUCAGUAAGCGGCUUUCAAAACAGUUGAGGCCAGUGUCGAAUUUCCAGGCACGUGACGGAGCUCGGAGCCAAGUUUGGGGGUGCUGCUGUGUUUACCCAAAGUCUGCGAGCUGAAACGCGCCCGAGGCUGUGGGUGGGUGGAAUGAUAUCCUCUGUAACAAAUAUUUGACCGGAUGUGUGGUUUAUCUCAUUUACAGGACUUUGAGCUUCGAAGAAAGGCUGCUGUGUUUUUGUUUCUGUAAUAUCUGAGGCACGUUCAGCUAUCUCUUGCUCGCUGGAGUUGUGUUUUAACACAGAUGUGUUAGUACUCCUAACCAUUAAGAAACCAAGCGUUUUAAAGCCACGGGGGGGACCGUUUCUACUGAUGAUCGAUGAAACACUGCACGUUCUUCAAUGCUCUGCCUCGUCCGACCGCAGUGACCUCUGCCCAAGUGGAGGAACGCCUCUUGUCAAAGGUCGGCCUGGGUGCCUAAGUCACAUGCUAAGAUUUUACUAAGGGCAGUGAAUCAGCAAAAAUCCAACUCCCAUUUUUACAAGCUCAGAACCUACUUCUGGUGUGUGCUGUCCGGCGUCACGCGCAGUGUGCGCCACUCACUUUGUUGAGAAACUCUGAGGUGUGCAGAAACAGAGCACAUAUUAUUUCUGUAUCUAGGUACACCUUGACCCCUGCCAACCCAUUCCGACUUGAUGGCUUCUGUAUAUCUUCUAUAUAUAUCCUGUAUAUCUAAAGAAACAUUUGCCAAAGGAGCUCGGAUUAUUUUUCCAAGCUGAAGUUGAUGUCUUGAGCAGUCACAUGAGGAAACUUACUGCCCUUGAGAUGGCUGAUUUUCAGGUCUGUGCUUGACAUCUAAUAGUUAAGCUGUAAACAAUGUGAGAUCUUGCUCCAUUGUUUCAGAUGGGAUCUGAAACAGAGAUUGUCUUCAACAAUUUGAGGCUUGUGUGGGCAAACAAUACCCUGACUUUCGCCUGUGGGCAGCACGAAGAAUGCUUCUGCUUCACACCAACACAUAGCCAAGAGGAGACACAGCUGCCAAGUAAGGCUGUGCACGCUGUCAGCUAAGUUGAUGGAUCAGUCCCUGGGCAGCUGUGAUGUUUGUGUGCAAAAGGAUACUGAAAGAAAUAAUUUGGACUACCGGGCUCUUCCUCAAUACACCAAGAUCGUUCAUCUGUUGCCUUUGAAUGGCAAGGGCCAGGAUCUCCCUCCUGCUUUGAACAGUUCAAUGAAUAAUGGCCAGGCGUGCAAUUAGCUGCUAGCUACUGAAAGUAAUAUGACAGAAAGUCGUGUGCAAAGCACUGCCAGAUGCAGAAAAUGAGCUUGCCAGUUAACAGAUGCGAACGUCAUUUGAUGUGAAGCCCAGACAGAGCGUGAUAAUGCUCUAAUACCAGGCUGCUUCCCAAGAAUGCCCGUAACUGCACUCCUGGAGGAUGAAAGAAGGCUUAACCCAAACCAAAGGAAAACACAACGGAAUAAAGUUAAAGCACUGCGAUGGUAGUUUGAGACAGAGAAGUUUUGGUUAUAGCUAAACCUGAACUCUUUUAAGACAAGAGUGAGAGACGGGCCUUCUGUUUGCCCCCAAGACACUGUGAUGCAUGGUCUUUCAACCCAAUGUUUCCUAUUCCGGCCAAGCAAAUCUGCUGCUGUUAAUGUUGAUGUGCAUGUUUGUGUAACUUGUGAUUGAUCUAAAAAGCAGAAUUUACAACUUCCCUCAUCUUACUGAGAUUUGAUCACGGGUGGCACAGACUGUUCAAGCUACAGGGGAAAUAUCCCUGUUAUUAAUAGGCUAUUUGCUCAGUUUCUUACAAACUGUGCUGUUGCACAGCCCUUCAUGGAACACUGUAAUGAGGAUUUAUGCGUGCUUGGUCACAAUGAGACUGGAAAAAAAAAA